This 291-nucleotide ribosomal RNA is filed under the name uncultured prokaryote. Its description in RNAcentral is "partial 16S ribosomal RNA". It matches the Rfam family "Bacterial small subunit ribosomal RNA", at positions 524 to 820 of the family's 1533-position model. The record is from RNAcentral.
UACGUAGGUGGCGAGCGUUGUCCGGAUUUACUGGGCGUAAAGGGCGCGUAGGCGGGAAUUUAAGUUAGGUGUGAAAACUCCGGGCUCAACCUGGAGAUUGCAUUUAAAACUGGGUUUCUUGAGGGCAGGAGAGGAAAGUGGAAUUCCUAGUGUAGCGGUAAAAUGCGUAGAGAUUAGGAGGAACACCAGUGGCGAAGGCGACUUUCUGGACGAUAACUGACGCUGAGGCGCGAAAGCGUGGGGAGCAAACAGGAUUAGAUACCCCGGUAGUCCCUGAGCGGGCUGGCAAGG